Molecule: ribosomal RNA, 550 nt
Filed under: uncultured Rhizophagus
Lineage: Eukaryota; Fungi; Glomeromycota; Glomeromycetes; Glomerales; Glomeraceae
Description: SSU rRNA
Rfam family: Eukaryotic small subunit ribosomal RNA
Source: RNAcentral
UUGGAGGGCAAGUCUGGUGCCAGCAGCCGCGGUAAUUCCAGCUCCAAUAGCGUAUAUUAAAGUUGUUGCAGUUAAAAAGCUCGUAGUUGAAUUUCGGGAUCAAUAUUUCGGUCAUGCCGUUGGUAUGCACUGUUAUCAUUGAUUUCUCACCUUCUAAAGAACCGUAAUGCCAUUAAUUUGGUGUUACGGGGAAUUAGGACUGUUACCUUGAAAAAAUUAGAGUGUUUAAAGCAGGCUCACGCUUGAAUACAUUAGCAUGGAAUAAUGAAAUAGGACAUCCGAUUCUAUUUUGUUGGUUUCUAGGAUCGAUGUAAUGAUUAAUAGGGAUAGUUGGGGGCAUUAGUAUUCAAUUGUCAGAGGUGAAAUUCUUGGAUUUAUUGAAGACUAACUACUGCGAAAGCAUUUGCCAAGGAUGUUUUCAUUAAUCAAGAACAAAAGUUAGGGGAUCGAAGACGAUCAGAUACCGUCGUAGUCUUAACCAUAAACUAUGCCGACUAGGAAUCAGACGAUGUUAAUUUUUUAAUGACUCGUUCGGCGCCUUACGGGAAAC